This 253-nucleotide ribosomal RNA is filed under the name uncultured bacterium. RNAcentral describes it as "partial 16S ribosomal RNA". It matches the Rfam family "Bacterial small subunit ribosomal RNA", at positions 524 to 776 of the family's 1533-position model. The record is from RNAcentral.
UACGAGGGGGGCAAAUGUUGUUCGGAAUCACUGGGCGUAAAGGGAGCGUAGGCGGGUGUUUAAGUUAGGUGUUUAAUCCUGGGGCCCAACCCCGGUCGUGCACCUAAAACUGGACAUCUUGAAUAGUGGAGAGGUCAGUGGAAUUGGGGGUGUAGCGGUGGAAUGCGUAGAGAUCCCCAAGAACACCAGUUGCGAAGGCGGCUGACUGGACACAUAUUGACGCUGAGGCUCGAAAGCAUGGGGAGCAAACAGG